UUUUUUUUUUUUUUUUGUCCAGGAUGGUAAAGUUCUGGAAUACAUAGAAACUGAAAAUAAAACAGGGAUGACCAGGGCCAUAGCAAGGGCUUCACCAGUUUCCUUAAUUUAUAGUUUUCAUAACCUGUCAGAGCCUUAACACCUUUCUAUAAAACCAACAGUGUUCAUGCAUUAGGUUUUGUUGCAAAUGCAAACUCCUCAGUAGUUUCCAUGGUCAGACCCCCUUUUGGCAGUCAUGAUGGCUCAAAGGAGGUGAAGCCUGAGAGCAAAUCCAGAAAAGCAACCCCUCAGAUGUGUGCAUGUAUAUUAAGGCGUCACCCUCGCUGUUGCAAAGUCAUUCCCACCACUACUGCUGUCAUGGCUUCUGUAUCUCCCCAGAGAUUUCCUGUGACUCGCCAGAGAAAGAACAGACUUUGGAAUCACAUGCUGAUUCAAACAUGACCUUGCUAUUUUCUGUUGUGUGACCUUGGACAAGUGAUACCACCUCUCUGAGCUUCACACACAAAGCGCCUGCAUCCCUGGUUGUGGUGGAGAUUAAAUGAGAUGGAGAGCAGGAUGAAUGUGAAUUCCGUCGCUAUGAACGCCUAGAGCUUUCAUUCCUGAUGCUUUGUGGACCUUCUGAGUAUAUCCAGCCUUAUAUGCUUGAAUGGCAUUUUAUGCUUGUCUUUUUUCCCAACUGGAAGCACCUUGAAGGUAGGACCAGGUUCAGGAAUCCCUUAUAAUGUCCAGCAUGGUGCUAGGCAUGGGGUAAAGAGCCAAUAAGUGAAUUUCAAUUUAAUGCCCAUUUAUCAACCUUCGACCAGCUUAUUAAUGAUUAUGGAAUUCUACUGAGAUGUAAAAAGAGAGUUGACCAGCCAUAAAUAAGUGGCUUAAUACAUUAUGGUAUAUUCCAUUAGUGGGUCAUUAUAUGGAAAUUAAAAUCAUGUUUUAAAGAAUGGUUAACGAGGUGGCUCGUGGUAUCAUACAAAAAGGGCAGGAUAUGUAAUGUCUAUUCUGUAUAUUACCAACAUUGUAAUGUAUACGAGCCAAGAAGAAAAAACUAGAAGGAUUUGUAUCAGAAUGUUAGCAAUGGUUAUAUCAGGGUAGGGUAAUGACUUAAUUUUCUUCUUGUCUCUGUUGAAAUGAUCUAUGAUGAGCAUGUAUUGCCUAACAAUCAGAGGAAAAAAGGCUAGUGAUUUUUUUUACCGCAGACGAGGGGGGUAUCUCAUUAUAAAAGGAUUUUUCCAAGGAUGCUGCCAAUCCUGCUUUAGGGAAAUUAACCUUGUUGGCCUUGUUUCCGCUGCACCCACCCCAUGUAGUACUACUGUGGGUUCUGUAAUCCUAUGGCCUUAAAUGUUCACCUCAAGUUUAAAGAGAAGUGGAGAGAGAAAGAAUUUCCCAAAGGGACUGGGCCAUUUAUUUAUGCAUUUAUUUAUUGUCUUUUUGUUUUGUUUUGUUUUGUUUAGAGCGGCACAUGGAGGUUCCCAGGCUAGGGGUCCAAUCAGAGCUGUAGCUGUCGGCCUGCACCACAGCCACAGCAACACGGGAUCUGGGCUGCAUCUGUGACCUAUACCACAGUUCACGUCAAUGCUGGAUCCUUAACCCACUGAGGGAGGCCAAGGAUUGAACCCAUCCUCAUGGAUGCUAGUCAGGUUCGUUAACCGCUGAGCCGUGAUGGGAACUCCCUAGGCCACUUAUUUAUAAAUCCCUUGUCAGAUGCCCUUGAGAUGCCAAGGCAUCUCUGCUUUGUUCCAAGGAAGUGGCAAGUUGUGAUCUCUGGCAAACUCUUUGACGCCCCAUGAAAUACACAGUGAAUGCCAAGACCUCUGUUCCAGGCCAGAGAACACCUCCAAAUACCCAACCUGCUGACUGUGCCCCUGGCAGUAAGUCAUAAAGUGGUUCAGAGGCCAAGUGACAUGAUGUUGUCAUUCCUGGGCUCUGGAAUCUUGGGAAAACUGCUCGACUGCUUUAAGCACAAUCCUCAAAAGGGGAGAUGAUAACCUUACCUCGCCCACAGAGAUACUGCAAAGAUUCAGUGAGAUCAUGAUUUUCUCAUGCUUAAGCUAACUCACACUACUGUGUCUCUUAUUUAAACAGCAUGAUUUUGGAGUUCCCACUGUGGCUCAGUGGGUUAGGUAUCCAACUAAUUCCCAUGAGGAUGAGGAUUUAACCCCUGGCCUCACUCAGUGGGUUAAGGAUCCGGUGUUGCCGUGAGCUAUGGUGUAGGUCACAGACCUGGCUCAGAUCUGGUGUUGCAGUAGCUGCAGCUCUGAUUCAACCCCUAGCCUGGGAACUUCCAUAUGCCGCCUGUGCAGCCCUGAAAACCAACAAACAAACAAGCAAACUUGGUUUGGUAAGAGGAGCACACUUUUGACCCUAAGGACCCUGGUUCAUAGCGCACCUCACCACUUGUGAGCUGUGUGAUAAAUGUCAAUUAACCUGCUUGAGCAUCAGUCAUAUCUGUAAAAAGGGGUCCCUCAUGCCAACUUCCAUGGAGUAGCUGACAGGUGGUAGAGUGAGCGAGUGAAAAGGUACAAAGGUGGCAAGCUGGACCAUUCAAGCAGAGUAGCCAUGACCCGGUGCCAGCCAACUGUUACCAUCCAGGGCUUCAGAAGUGUGAGUCUAUGGUUGUUAGGUCUGCUUUGUUAAGAGAUGCAAGAAAUUUUAAUUUUCAUAGGCAAUUCAGCAGUUUUUAAAGGUUGGCAAAUCAUUAGAAGUUUUUCAGGCGACUUUGUGCAGGCACCGGUGGGAGAUUGGAUUUUCAGUUGACUUGAACCCAUUACCCUUGGAGUCUACAAGAGGGAGAGUAUAUAUCCCCACCCCACUGAUGUUGGAUUGUCCUUGGGACUUGCCUUAGGCAAUGGCUGCAGAGUGAGAAAGUGUGUGUGUGUGUGUGUGUGUGUGUGUGUGUGUGUGUGUGUGAGAGAGAGAGAGAGAGAGAGAGAUUUGGUCUAUCUUCUUUCACUUCUUCCCUGGCCCAGAGAAGAAUAUGCUCUUUCGGGAGAGGGGGGAGGCUACUAUCCCCCCAGAAAGGGACUUGAGGGGCAAACCUGAAGUAGACUUGCCCCACAUGAGCCCCAGUCCCGAGUGAGAAAAAUAAGUUUGUGGUCAUAGGCUGCUGAGAUUUGUAGAUUAUACAAAGCAGAACUCAACUCAUAAACCACCCUCAGCUUCCCAGUUUGAGAGAUCCGGGCAAAGCACCCAGCAAAUGACUGUCACAUAGUGUGUUCUUAUAAAUGGUUGCCCUUGGGAUUUGUCUGGGCCUGACCAAAUCUCCUGGGGGCUCUAUAGUAGAAGUUAGGCUUAGGCCAUGUUUUGUAAAAUGUUUGUUUUGUGCUAAUUCAGCCUCUGAGAAACCUGAACGCAGCCAUCUCUGCUCCCUCUUAACGCCUCAUACACCUACAGGGAUAAAUGUCAUUUUACAUGGUGCUAUAGAAUUACAGACUGUUUGUCACCUAGAGAAAAAUGUGUGGGGAGUUUCCAUUGUGGCACAGUGGCAAUGAAUCUGACUAGGAACCAUGAGGUUGCGGGUUUGAUCCCUGGCCUCGCUCAGUGGGUUAAGGAUCGGUGUUGUCAUGAGCUGUGGGGUAGCUCACAGAGGUGGCUCGGAUUCUGUGUUGCUGUGGCUGUGGUGUAGGCUGGCAGCUAUAGCUCCGAUUCAACCCCUCGCCUGGGAACCUCCAUAUGCCUCGGGUGUGGCCCUAAAAAAAAAAAAAAAAGUGUGGUCAGCAGCAGUUUCAUGAUUUUUUUCUUGGGAGUUUUUACCUAUAUCUAUUUCACCAACAUGUAGGAUAGAGUUUUGAUAUGAAGGAUUCAAAUAGGAGUGAUUAAACUACUCAGACCUAGACAAGUUUAAUGGGACAGCGAGGGAUAUUUAACAAAAGCAACAACAACAACAAAAGCUUGUAAGGGAAGAGCCAAGACAGAAGCGAGAACCAAGCACUCUUGGGUCCCAGAGGGGACAAUCGAACCUGACCAGAUUUUGGGGGGGCGUCUCGGGGAACUUGGGACUCAAAUUGGGUCUUUAAGAAAGAAGAGCUUUGGUGAUGCAAGAAGGUAGGGACGGCCAAGAGGGAAAAUCAUAUGCAAAGACCCAUGGGACACAAGCACUUGGUGUCUUCAGAAAAUCACGAGGAGUCUGGGUAGGAUGGUGAAUCAGGUACAGGUGGGAAAGGGCUAACAUACAAGGGUAAUGUAAGCAAGGACCAGGCUGUGAACUGCGUUGGUUGCCAUAGAGAUCUGCUUCCAAAGAUGGCGGCUGUUGGUUCCUCCCCUCCCUGUAGGCACAAGCUACUUACCCAUCAAAGAGUGGAGCCUGUCCCUCCAGGUCUUGAAUCUGGGCUGGCUUGAUGGAUAGCAGAGACACGAUGGUGUUUCCAUUCUAGGCAUUGGCGACUUAUGGUUCUCCUCUCUUAGGAUGCUGGUUCUUGGACCCCAACCACCAUUCUGUGAAAACCCCCUGGAGAGGAUCCAUGAAGGCACGCCAGUCAACAGCCCUGCCUUAAGCUCUACCUAAUAACCAGCCACUUGACAGUGCCACCUAGAAUGUCCAGUCUACCCUAAACUCUGAUGAGUCCAGCUGACCUCUGAUGAGUCCAGCGGACCUCUGAUGACUCCAGCGCUAGCCAGCAUCUGUGCCCCUUAGUGUGGACCACCUGGCAGAGACCAGUGAGUGCUCAGAAGGGUAACUGAUAAUAAAUUGUCUCUUGAGUCUCUGAGUUUGGGGCUGAUUUGCUAUGCAGCGGUAGAUAACCAGAACAGAUGACAAACCAAUUGUCCUAGGCAUCAUCUGUAAUGAUUGCGUACUGGUGACUUUAAAGAAUUGAUUAAAAAAGAAAACCUAAAAUGGGGUGGGGGAUAAAAAGUGGCAAUUCUCUUAGCAGUACACUAGUGGGGAAGCAAUAAAGUCUCCGCGUGCCUCUAUUUCCUCAGGCUCUGUGGCUACCAUGCUGCCUAGUUUCCUCCAAAUGCUAAUGUUCUAGGGGAGCAAUGUGAUGUGCUUAGAAAGAACCCAGGCUUUGUGGUCAAGGGAGGUGUGGAAUCGAAUUCCACCUGUGUCACUCAUGAGCUCUGAGAUGGGGCAAGUCACUUAAUGAAGCACACUGUGCCCUGCCCAGAUGCCCUUUCCCACCCAUGCCAAGAUGCUAGAACUUUUGCCUUCUAGUUUUGGCCUCUUCUCUGCAGAAUAGCCC
Molecule: long non-coding RNA, 5171 nt
Filed under: Sus scrofa (pig)
Lineage: Eukaryota; Metazoa; Chordata; Mammalia; Artiodactyla; Suidae
Description: lncRNA (ENSSSCG00015077156.1)
Source: RNAcentral